This 253-nucleotide ribosomal RNA is filed under the name uncultured bacterium. RNAcentral describes it as "partial 16S ribosomal RNA". It matches the Rfam family "Bacterial small subunit ribosomal RNA", at positions 524 to 776 of the family's 1533-position model. The record is from RNAcentral.
UACGGAGGAUGCAAGCGUUAUCCGGAAUGAUUGGGCGUAAAGCGUCCGCAGGUGGCAAUGUAGGUCUGCUGUUAAAGAGUCUAGCUCAACUAGAUAAAAGCAGUGGAAACUACAUAGCUAGAGUACGUUCGGGGCAGAGGGAAUUCCUGGUGUAGCGGUGAAAUGCGUAGAGAUCAGGAAGAACACCGGUGGCGAAGGCGCUCUGCUAGGCCGUAACUGACACUGAGGGACGAAAGCUAGGGGAGCGAAUGGG